Molecule: long non-coding RNA, 621 nt
Organism: Mustela erminea (ermine)
Lineage: Eukaryota; Metazoa; Chordata; Mammalia; Carnivora; Mustelidae
Exons: 2
Source: RefSeq, a predicted model, not a curated record
CUGAGCAGAGAGCCCAAUGCGGGACUUGAUCCCAGGACCCUGAGAUCAUGACCUGAGCCAAAGGCAGAGGCUUUAACCCACUGAGCCACCCAGGCACCCCAUUUUUUUUUUUUUUUUUUUUAAAGAAAAAACGGUGAAGUCUUGUGUGCCACUGUGUCACCUCCGCAUACUCUCUCCUCAUUUAGGCAGAGUGUGCACCUUUCAGGGCCUUCUAGACCAUGGCCUGCAUCCCGGGUCCAGAGGCCGGGGGCGUCUUCAGGCUGAUGGUAAAUUUGGAUACUGGCUCCUCUACCUUUGAGCUCUGUGUCUUUGGACCUUUUACUUUACCUUGAAGACGCAGUCUUCUCAUCUGCAAAGGGGAAAGAUCAGUAUCCAUCGAAGCUUCAAAAGAGAAAACACUUGGUGCUUUUCAAACCAGAGUAUCUCCAAGAAAGCUACCAGACAUUUUGAAGAGGCUGUUUUGCCAUUGACAUUCACACCUGUUUCCUCACCAUGGAAGACAAACUAUUCACCUUUCAGCUUUUAAAAAACUACCCAGCUGUAUACCCAGCAAACAUCCCUACCCCAUGUUUGACCCAGGCCUUAUUCAUCCCUGAGCCUUUUUCCCCCCUUGUUUUCCUU